CCUACGGGAGGCAGCAGUGGGGAAUAUUGCACAAUGGACGAAACCCUGAUGCAGCGACGCCGCGUGAGUGAAGCAGUAUUUCGGUAUGUAAAGCUCUAUCAGCAGGGAAGAAAAUGACAGUACCUGACCAAGAAUCCCCGGCUCACUACGUGCCAGCACCCGCGGUAAUACGUAGGGGGCAAGCGUUAUCCGGAGUUACUGGGUGUAAAGGGGGCGUAUACGGUUAUGUAAGUCUGGAGUGAAGGCCCGGGGACCAACCCGGGGACUGUUUUGGAAACUGUGUAACUGGAGUACAGGAGGGGCAGGCGGAAUUCGUGGUGUAGCGGUGAAAUGCGUAGAUAUCAGGAGGAACACCGGCGGCGAAGGCGGCUUGCUGGACUGAAACUGACGUUGAGGCUCGAAAGCGUGGGGAGCAAACAGGAUUAGAUACCCCAGUAGUC
RNAcentral lists this ribosomal RNA (440 nucleotides) under uncultured bacterium. RNAcentral's name for it is "partial 16S ribosomal RNA". It matches the Rfam family "Bacterial small subunit ribosomal RNA", at positions 338 to 795 of the family's 1533-position model. The record is from RNAcentral.